This 291-nucleotide ribosomal RNA is filed under the name uncultured prokaryote. RNAcentral's name for it is "partial 16S ribosomal RNA". It matches the Rfam family "Archaeal small subunit ribosomal RNA", at positions 474 to 766 of the family's 1478-position model. The record is from RNAcentral.
CACCGGCAGCUCUAGUGGUAGCAGUUUUUUAUUGGGCCUAAAGCGUCCGUAGCCGGUUUAAUAAGUCUCUGGUGAAAUCCUGUAGCUUAACUGUGGGAAUAGCUGGAGAUACUAUUAGACUUGAGACCGGGAGAGGUUAGAGGUACUCCCAGGGUAGAGGUGAAAUUCUGUAAUCCUGGGAGGACCGCCUGUUGCGAAGGCGUCUAACUGGAACGGUUCUGACGGUGAGGGACGAAAGUUAGGGGCGCGGACCGGAUUAGAUACCCCUGUAGUCCCUGAGCGGGCUGGCAA